AACUUGCUCUCGGGUGACGAGCGGCGGACGGGUGAGUAAUGUCUGGGAAACUGCCUGAUGGAGGGGGAUAACUACUGGAAACGGUAGCUAAUACCGCAUAAUGUCGCAAGACCAAAGUGGGGGACCUUCGGGCCUCAUGCCAUCAGAUGUGCCCAGAUGGGAUUAGCUGGUAGGUGGGGUAACGGCUCACCUAGGCGACGAUCCCUAGCUGGUCUGAGAGGAUGACCAGCCACACUGGAACUGAGACACGGUCCAGACUCCUACGGGAGGCAGCAGUGGGGAAUAUUGCACAAUGGGCGCAAGCCUGAUGCAGCCAUGCCGCGUGUGUGAAGAAGGCCUUCGGGUUGUAAAGCACUUUCAGCGGGGAGGAAGGCGGUGAGGUUAAUAACCUCAUCGAUUGACGUUACCCGCAGAAGAAGCACCGGCUAACUCCGUGCCAGCAGCCGCGGUAAUACGGAGGGUGCAAGCGUUAAUCGGAAUUACUGGGCGUAAAGCGCACGCAGGCGGUCUGUCAAGUCGGAUGUGAAAUCCCCGGGCUCAACCUGGGAACUGCAUUCGAAACUGGCAGGCUAGAGUCUUGUAGAGGGGGGUAGAAUUCCAGGUGUAGCGGUGAAAUGCGUAGAGAUCUGGAGGAAUACCGGUGGCGAAGGCGGCCCCCUGGACAAAGACUGACGCUCAGGUGCGAAAGCGUGGGGAGCAAACAGGAUUAGAUACCCUGGUAGUCCACGCUGUAAACGAUGUCGAUUUGGAGGUUGUGCCCUUGAGGCGUGGCUUCCGGAGCUAACGCGUUAAAUCGACCGCCUGGGGAGUACGGCCGCAAGGUUAAAACUCAAUGAAUUGACGGGGGCCCGCACAAGCGGUGGAGCAUGUGGUUUAAUUCGAUGCAACGCGAAGAACCUUACCUGGUCUUGACAUCCACAGAACUUUCCAGAGAUGGAUUGGUGCCUUCGGGAACUGUGAGACAGGUGCUGCAUGGCUGUCGUCAGCUCGUGUGUGAAUGUUGGUAAGUUCCGCAACGAGCGCAAUCCUUAUCCU
Molecule: ribosomal RNA, 1035 nt
Filed under: Klebsiella pneumoniae
Lineage: Bacteria; Pseudomonadati; Pseudomonadota; Gammaproteobacteria; Enterobacterales; Enterobacteriaceae
Description: bacterial SSU rRNA
Rfam family: Bacterial small subunit ribosomal RNA
Source: RNAcentral